CAAGGCCUUGUGCGGGAUGAAAGCCUUCGGGUUGUAAACCGAUUUCAGCAGGGACGAAAUUGACGGUACCUGCAGAAGAAGGCCCGGCCAACUACGUGCCAGCAGCCGCGGUAAUACGUAGGGGCCUAGCGUUGUCCGGAUUUAUUGGGCGUAAAGAGCUCGUAGGCGGUUCGGCAAGUCGGAUGUGAAAUCUCCACGCUUAACGUGGAGGGGCCAUUCGAAACUGCCGUGACUCGAGUCCGGUAGGGGAGUGUGGAAUUCCCGGUGUAGCGGUGAAAUGCGCAGAUAUCGGGAGGAACACCAGUAGCGAAGGCGGCACUCUGGGCCGGUACUGACGCUGAGGAGCGAAAGCGUGGGGAGCGAACAGGAUUAGAUACCCUGGUAGUCCACGCCGUAAACGUUGGGCACUAGGUGUGGGACCCUAUCGACGGGUUCCGUGCCGUACUAACGCAUUAAGUGCCCCGCCUGGGGAGUACGGCCGCAAGGCUAAAACUUAAAGGAAUUGGCG
RNAcentral lists this ribosomal RNA (508 nucleotides) under uncultured prokaryote. RNAcentral describes it as "bacterial SSU rRNA". It matches the Rfam family "Bacterial small subunit ribosomal RNA", at positions 392 to 915 of the family's 1533-position model. The record is from RNAcentral.